Molecule: long non-coding RNA, 7005 nt
Organism: Rattus norvegicus (Norway rat)
Lineage: Eukaryota; Metazoa; Chordata; Mammalia; Rodentia; Muridae
Source: RefSeq, a predicted model, not a curated record
AGAGAGAGAGAGAGAGAGAGAGACUGGGAUUAUUGUCUCAGGGUCACUCAGCUGCAAUAUUUCCUGCUUUAGAGGGCUGCUGCCAUCUUCAUGGGGGGAAUCUUUUAGGAUAUCUCUAGGUUUCUGCACAUAGCACCUCUGAAAGACCAUUUCCUGGAUCCCAUCCUGGGGAAGGCAGGUGUUCCUGAAUAGGCAUCUGAAGCUGAACUCGGGCUUUGUUCAUUCUAACCCACCUCCAUCUAACCUGAGCCGUUUGGCCUUGACCACGUGUCUACUUUUUCUGAAAAGCAGCUGGAAAUGGAGCACUCAGGCACCUUUGGAUCUGGCAGAGGUUCAGGCAGGCAAGCCCAAAAAACCCCCAGAACAAAGAAGCAAACAAACAAACAAACAAACAAACAUUUGCAAUAGAUAGACAGACAGACAGACAGGGCGGGAUGCAUGCUAUCCUGGUAAUUGAAAGCUCUCAUAGAUGGCUGACCCACUACAUUAUUCAGUAUGCUUUCUGAUUCAGUCCUUGCCAGGCAAUGUUAAAAAAAUGGAGUUUCAGAGUAUCUGUUUAACAGGCACAGAGUCCUAGGUUCAGUUUCCAGCACGGUAUAACCCAGAUGUGGUCACGCACACCUGUAAUCCUAGUACUUGGAAAGUGGGGGCAGGAAUAUUCGAAGGUCAAACUGACCCUCAGCUCCAUGGCAAAUCUGAGCUCAACUUAUCUCAAAGAAAGGAAAACACAGUUUUUCAAAGGUCUUUUGAAUUAGGUUAGUGUGCUAUGGUGUAAGUAUAGUGUAGUGUGUGUGUGUGUGUGUGUGUGUAUGUGUGUGUGUGUGUGUGUGUGUGUGUGUGUGUGUGUGUUUGCACUGGGAACCGAGCCCACAUCCUUAAGCAUGCCAAGCACACACUCUAAUGCUGAGCUCUCUUAACCUAUUUUCAAGGUUAUUAUUAUUUUUAAACCAAGGUUAGCUUGCUUGCCUUUGACAGAGAACUUAAUGAUAAAGAACUUUCCAUCAGCUCGUGUGUGUGUGUGUGUGUGUGUGUGUGUGUGUGUGUGUGUGUGUGUGUGUGUGUGUAAUUAAUUAAUCAGAAGGAACCAAUAACCUUGGGUUUGAAUUCUAAGUGCCGUUACAAUGAAGAUAAAAGUAAAAUCAUGACUUUGUGAAAGUGUUUAAUUAAUACAUGUCAAGGGUGCUUUGUUUUAAUGAGGAAACCAGUAAAAUGUAAAAAAAAAAAAAAAAGAAACCUAUUCUUUGCAGAAUUCAAAUGCUAUACAAACAUAGGCAAUCAGGAACUGGGAAAGAAUUUGCAAGUAAAUGCAAAACAAGGGAGCAUCUACAUGAUAGUAAUGACCGUUUCUCCAAUAGACAAAGUUCAUUUCCACAGACGGGGUGACUCACCCUACUACUGUCCACCUUUUACAAUGCACAGAGUAAGGAGAGCCGAGAGACUCCCCAAAAGGCAGAUAAGGUGGGAGAAUUCUCUAGGAAAAAAACUCACUAAUGUGGUUUUUCCCACUUCAAAAUCUUUCACAUUAAAACAAGUAUUGGUGAGCAUGAACAUGCAAGCAUCUUCCUGUAUCCGGAAUAAUUUUUGUUUCAUCUGUGAAUUGGAGCAGGUGUCUCUUCCUUGGUUUGUCUUGGAGAUUAAAAAUGAUUACAUAUAUAUAUAUAUAUAAAUAUAUGUAUAUUUUCCCUUAGGCUGAAUAUAUAUGUACAUAGACAUGCAUUCACACACAGACACACACACACACACACACACGCUCAAUAGUAAAACUCUUUCCUCUUUAUUUUCCUUAACGCUGGAUUUGUUCCCAGCAAAUCUUUCUUCAUGCGUUUGUUUAUUUGACGUGUGUUGAAGGUUUGCUGUACCAGACACGUGCUGAGCGCAUGCAUAGCUAGAGAACACACGGUGAACGCCUCACAGGCUCUAGGCAUGACUGUUGGGAGGGAACUGACAAGGGAAGCAUUAGUUGUGGUUUUCUGUGACACACUGUACUGAGAAUCCUGGAGGGCAUCCUUGCAGAGGUCAGACAGUGUCUGACGGCAGUGACUUGGGGACCAAGGGUCUGGCCCUUGGGCAGGCUGUGUUCUUCUUAGUUCCUUCUAGAAGAGAAAUGAUGUCUGUAGGUUGUGGUGCUGGCUAAACGAGCUUGGACACACUUGAAUACAAUAUUUGCUAAUACUAUUUGGUGGCAUUACCAAGCAUGGAUAAAAUCCAAGUUAUGGAAAGACAAAAGUCACACGUUUGCUAUUAAACUGAAUGAUUAGACCACACUUAAAUACAAACUCACGUUAUACAUACACGUGAUCCUUCACAAAGGUUAUAUUGGCACAGGAGUAACUUAAGCAUCUCUCAUCUGUGCAUUGGAGGAACUGGAAGUGUACCUGGGUGGUAUACCAAGGGCUAUACUCAUGUUUGUAGGCUCUCUGCUAUUAAAAGAUUUUCUUCCGAGGCAGAUAGAGUCUGAGUUAACCUUUUUAGCUCCAAGUCCUUUGAGAGUCAGCUCCUUAUCUUACCUUUUUUAUUUUAUUAAUCCUUUAAGAAAUUAUACAUACAUAUAUAUAUUCACAGGUGAGGAGGCAGGUACAAGAUAGAAGGAGUCCUGUCAUUGGACGAGAAGGAAGGAUGGGCAGGAGAAAAGUUUGAAGGAAGAGGAGGAGACUGGAACGGAAAGGAGAAGAGACAGGAGGGAGAGGGCGAGAAGCCAUGGCAGGUGAUGUUAGAUUCCGCUCUGUGUAUCUACAGGUUGUUAUUAAUGUUUUUAAGGGAUGGAUGUGUACUGGGCUUUGUAUGUUUAGGUGGGCAAUUAUAUCUUAUCAAUUGGGCCAAAGGUUAUUGUGUUGUGUGUUCGUUCAUGUGUAGAUUUAAGUGUAAUGGAGUGUGGGGCGGCUGGUCUGGGCCACCAUGGAGUUGGAAUGUGUGCUUCUGGCAAGAUAUCCAGCAGAUAUCUUGGGGUACUUUGGUGCUGGGACCUAGUGGGGAUAAAAGAAAACCCGACUUUUUUAUUUUUUAUAUUUUACAACAACAUAUGUGUGUGUGUGUGUAUAAAAUAUUUACUCUCUCAUUUCUUCCAGAUACACCCUAUCUUCCUAUUGCCCCGACUUCAUGUUUUAUUGAUUUAUUUUAUUAAUAACCCAUGAGUCCCGUUUGUGUUGCCAUAUACUCCUAGGUGUGCAGGCAUCCCUGAAGCAUGGUUGACCAACCAGGGGCUGUACCCUUAAGGAACCUGAUUCUCCCUCAUCCAGAAGUCAUCAACUGUCUAUGGCUCCCCAAAUAGGGAUGGGCGCUUGCAGACUCCUUCCCCUCACAUGCUAGAAUGAUGGUUGGCUUGUUUAUCAUAUAGGUUUAAACUCUACACAAGAUGGAUUCUCCAGGACUCCUGCAGGCUCCUACAUUCUGGGUACAGACGUGUGUUCUUAUCUACUGGGAUGGGUGGUUGACUUCAGGGGGUUGGGGCUCACAGUUGUCACUGGCAUGGAAUGGUAUGAAUGCUGUACCCUGGAAGAGUAAUGGUUCUGUUACCGUUUGCUUCAUGCAGGGCCGUGGGUAGCAUUGCUGGGUGUUCUCAUCUGUCUGUAGUAAUACUAGCAUGAAGUAACCUUGACAUAUGAGACGCUUGCCCAAGCAGCACCCAUUCUUGCAGAAGUACAGAGGGAGAAGUGCCAGUCUUGGGCCAGGGUGAAGUGUGUAGUUACUGAAAACCUAAUGGUUACUUUCUUUUGUAAUUAAAACUUCAAACUGCCUUCUUCAAACUGCCCUCCAGGUAAGGGGAAUGGAUUCCCCUGUGUCCAAGGGAGAUGAACCUUUCACAAUCUACGACCUGUAGACAAACCGAACAUGGGAAGAAUAUCAUAGUGGGCUGCUUCUUGCUCUAUCCUGGUGCCCUGUGGUGGAUGGGGGACAGCCUGAAGGUGCUGGGUCUCUGGGGACAGACAUUCACAUUGCUGCAUUGCUGAGAAGAUGCCUUGGUCUGGAAGAGCAUCCCAACUGGACAGGCUCUGCUAAGAGCGCUGUGUGGUUUCUAGCCUGCAGGAGGUACGGGUGGCAAACAUUUUUUGUGCCUUGAAUCUGGGUACAUGAAGCAUCUGCUGCGAGCCAGGUAUUUGAGAGGACUCUUGUUUCUAAUGCACCCCGGAUGUUUGUCCUGACUGAAAGCACAGCAGCUUUGUCUGCACCCCUUCCAAGUGUGCAAAGCCAGGUUCUCCACGAUCAGGUGCUCAUUCUGCUGUUUCCCAUUUUCUGCAGAGUCUCCAGUUUGCCUUGGUCCCCCACUGUUCCUCUUUCAUCAGAAUGACCAAAGCCUGGUCCUUACCACUGCACACUCUAGUUGCUCUAAUUAAACAUUCGAGACCCACCAGGGCAACUCCCUUGCAAUCCUUGCCAUCUUCCAGCUCAUUCUGUUCUUGUCUCUUGGUGGGAAUGCACAGAGACAAUUCAGGGAGGGGAGAGGUCACAGUGACAUUAAGUUGAACUGGGAUAGAUUGGGUUCAGACCUCCUUGAGUACCAGGAACCCUCACCUCAGGAGUCCUUACCUGAUUUCUGCACGGUGCCAAUAGAUGGACUGGAUCAAUGCUCUCCUAGUGACAUGAGUGACCCUCGCUCUGGAACUCAUGGGAAAUGCUAGUUCUGAGUAGGCACCAGAGCACACAGUAGCUGUGUCUUAGCAUGCCUGGGGAAGUGAGAGAGUUCCCAAAGUUCGAGGCCUGGUUAAAAUGAAUGCAAAGCCUCCUUUGAAAGGGACAGCUUAUGCCUAUUGCCUUGACUUGUGGGAUGGCCAAUAGGCAAGGGGGGCGGGGCUUACCCAGAGGAAACAAAACACACAGUCACCCUGGAAGCCGCUUCCAGGCUUCACAGAGUAUGGCAUUACUUGGAUUGUGUUCCACAUUAUUCCCCCACCCCCAACCUCCAGCAAAAGCUGACAGGAGACCCGUGGGAAGGCCCUGAUGUCCCUGAAGAGCUGUUCUUGUCCUGAACAGUCCUUGAAAAGGCUUCCUAAGGCAGCACCUGGAGAGCAGGGCAGACGGCAGCUUUGAGCCCGUCAGAGCAGAUACAGUUUCUCCAUUCGUUCCUGGCACAAUUGGAUUUUCCUUGCUACAUCAAGGCACGUGAAGAUCGCUGGUACUUAGGAAGUGGGACCUCCAACCCAGGAGAAGAUUCUAGAAAGUGUGGCAUAGGCUGAGCAUAUGUGAAGGGGAAUGUGUACUCUGCAUUGGGAACCAUGCCAAGUGCCCGUGUUAUAGUCUGGAUAUAAAAUGGUCCACUGGAGGCUUGAGACAUGGCCCAGAGGCUACUAGUGCCUGCCGCUGUUGUAGAAGAAAUAGGUUCAAUCCCUGGAACUUACAAUGGCUUGUAACUCUUGGAGAUGUGAUACCUUCUUCUGGCCUUUGAUUUCUCUAUAUAGCCCUGGCUGUCCUGGAACAGGCUGUGGAGACCUGCGGAGACCAUCUUGGCCUUGAACUCAGAGACCACUGCCACACACUACCACAAAAACAUACAUCUUUCACAAAAGGUUUGUGUGCAGAAGGUUUGGUCUCCAGAACACCCUUCACUCCUUGUCUUCUUGGAGUCUGCUUCUUCACCCAGAAGGACUGAACUUCAGAGCUCCUGGAAGGCUACACCUUCUGAGAUCCUCUAUGACCUGGGCACAGUAGGAUGGAGGGGUGACAUCCAGAAGAGAUACUUCUAAGGGGCCGAGGAGGAUUCUCAAAGCAAGUCUCAUCUUCUCUCAGCAAGGAGAAAAACAAGGAAACAAAAGAGCUGGGGGAUUGGCUACUCAAUUCUCAAUUUUGAGGAAAAUCUAAAGGAAGUCACAGGACCAUGGUCAAUGGCACUGUGUAGGGUCUCAGGAGGGCCUGGCCUCUCUGACUUCCUAUCCAGCAGCCUUUCUGCUCUGGGCUUUGAUCUUCCACCACAACUGGAGUCUGCCUGGAUCUUCACACUCUUCCCCAGGGCUGCCAUGCUAGGAACAUCUCUAGGAAAGACCGGCACAUGCAGUGUGUGACAAGCUGUGCGAUGCCACUUCACUGAGAUCAAUGCUGAGGAAAGAACAGUUUGUACCUUGUGAAGUUAGAAAACCAUCAGACAGAUGACUGUCCUCAGGCAGAGGACAAUUACCUAAAGCUGGCUGGCAGGAGUCCUGCACUACGGAAUGAAGAUCCCGUGCAAAAGAAAUGCUGGGGCUCGAGAACAAUGAAUGGACAGAGGAGGGUGGUUCCUGGGAUCUCUCUUCUAUCCAUUUGUUCCAAGGGCACCUGAGUUCUCAGAGUUCUCUAAGUUCUAAUGUGGCAAGGGUGUGUCCAACCUUGUUGAUUGUUUUUAGAAAAGGCACAAAGAGUCAUUUGUACUUUGGUCUUUGGGUCAGGAGUCUUCAGGUCCAACAUUUUGUUAGGUCUGAUAGACUUCUAGGACUGGCUGGGCUCAGAAGCAAUUAUACACUAUUAUUAUUAUAGGAAGAAAGGGUGUGAGAAACUAUGAAGAAUUAGGCAUAGAUAUUUAAUUCCCCAGUAACACUGGGGAAUGUAAGGCAUGCAUGUAAGGCAUGACUGAGCAGAUGUUUCUAUAAGUAUUAGUGCCCAUGUAAUGCCUGUGUGACUAACACCAGCCUCUUAAAGCUGGAUUCUUGCUGAUUGAAUUGGUACAACAUUGACUGAGACUCAAGGGCUCAAACAAGCCAAUAUGUGUUUACAAGGUAGAACUUUCUAAGGAUGUAGUUCUCCCAGGGGAUGGCCAUUGGUCAGUCCUGGUUCCAGAGGUUUACCAGGAAUGUCUAGGGUUUGAGUAACCCAGAUCUGUUGACUGAAGUUCCCAUCCAUUUUUCCUUUGUAUUUUAGGAUUAAUUUGUCACAUUCCACAAAAUACCCUUGUUGGAAUUCAUAUGUUGAAUAUAGAAAAAUAAUCAGGAUGAAAUGCUUUUCUUUUUGAUAAUGAUUUUUUUCGUGUUAUUUUCUAUUUGUAAAGUGCUUUAUAUCCUGUAGAAUGUUUACAAAUGCUUUAAUAAAGUCUUAUCCAUCUUC